CAUGUAGGCGGCAUGACAAGUCUGGUGUGAAGUAUCUCGGCUCAACCGAGAAAACGCACUGGAAACUGUCAAGCUUGAGUAUCGGAGGGGAAGCUAGAAUUCCUGGUGUAGGGGUGAAAUCUGUAGAUAUCAGGAAGAAUACCGGUGGCGAAGGCGAGCUUCUGGCCAGAUACUGACGCUGAGAUGCGAAAGCGUGGGGAGCGAACAGGAUUAGAUACCCUGGUAGUCC
This 229-nucleotide ribosomal RNA is filed under the name uncultured bacterium. RNAcentral's name for it is "partial 16S ribosomal RNA". It matches the Rfam family "Bacterial small subunit ribosomal RNA", at positions 568 to 796 of the family's 1533-position model. The record is from RNAcentral.